GCCCGGGUGGCGGAAUUGGCAGACGCGUAUGACUCAAAAUCAUAUGGGAUUUUAUCCCGUGUGGGUUCGACUCCCACCCCGGGCA
This 85-nucleotide transfer RNA is filed under the name Candidatus Parcubacteria bacterium. RNAcentral describes it as "tRNA-Leu". It matches the Rfam family "tRNA". Rfam says of the family: Transfer RNA (tRNA) molecules are approximately 80 nucleotides in length. Their secondary structure includes four short double-helical elements and three loops (D, anti-codon, and T loops). Lineage: Bacteria; Candidatus Parcubacteria. The record is from RNAcentral.